RNAcentral lists this ribosomal RNA (852 nucleotides) under uncultured Psychrobacter sp. RNAcentral describes it as "bacterial SSU rRNA". It matches the Rfam family "Bacterial small subunit ribosomal RNA", at positions 25 to 869 of the family's 1533-position model. Lineage: Bacteria; Pseudomonadati; Pseudomonadota; Gammaproteobacteria; Moraxellales; Moraxellaceae. The record is from RNAcentral.
CAGAUUGAACGUCUGGCGGCAGGCUUAACACAUGCAAGUCGAGCGGAAACGAUGGGAGCUUGCUCCCAGGCGUCGAGCGGCGGACGGGUGAGUAACACUUAGGAAUCUACCUAGUAGUGGGGGAUAGCUCGGGGAAACUCGAAUUAAUACCGCAUACGUCCUACGGGAGAAAGGGGGCAACUUGUUGCUCUCGCUAUUAGAUGAGCCUAAGUCGGAUUAGCUAGUUGGUGGGGUAAAGGCCUACCAAGGCGACGAUCUGUAGCUGGUCUGAGAGGAUGAUCAGCCACACCGGGACUGAGACACGGCCCGGACUCCUACGGGAGGCAGCAGUGGGGAAUAUUGGACAAUGGGGGCAACCCUGAUCCAGCCAUGCCGCGUGUGUGAAGAAGGCCUUUUGGUUGUAAAGCACUUUAAGCAGUGAAGAAGACCAUAUGGUUAAUACCCAUAUGCGAUGACAUUAGCUGCAGAAUAAGCACCGGCUAACUCUGUGCCAGCAGCCGCGGUAAUACAGAGGGUGCAAGCGUUAAUCGGAAUUACUGGGCGUAAAGCGAGCGUAGGUGGCUUGAUAAGUCAGAUGUGAAAUCCCCGGGCUUAACCUGGGAACUGCAUCUGAUACUGUUAGGCUAGAAUAGGUGAGAGGAAGGUAGAAUUCCAGGUGUAGCGGUGAAAUGCGUAGAGAUCUGGAGGAAUACCGAUGGCGAAGGCAGCCUUCUGGCAUCAUAUUGACACUGAGGUUCGAAAGCGUGGGUAGCAAACAGGAUUAGAUACCCUGGUAGUCCACGCCGUAAACGAUGUCUACUAGUCGUUGGGUCCCUUGAGGACUUAGUGACGCAGCUAACGCAAUAAGUAGAC